AACGCAACACCCUGCUACAACUAAACUCUCUGUGAAGCGAAAAGGUAUGGACUGUAGGUGCGAGUAAAAAUGACAACAAGCAGAAUGUGGUACCGAUUACAAGGACUUUAUUCCUUUACACGGUAAUAUGGGGGAAAAGGGGCUGGACAGAACCAAAGCAAAGAAAGUAAAUCUCAAAGCCCCCCUCUCUAUCUUACCUGCCUACCCACUACUUACCUAAUUUAGCACCACCUGGUGCCCUAACCAAAAUACAAGGGGUGGUCCGCCCAGGUCUUACCUAGUGUGCCUAGACAGCGAAUAUGCUACGGGUAUAUGUAUGCCCGCGGGCCUCUUGCCUAAGCACUCCCUAGGUGCCUUCCCCUUCCCCCCUGGGAACAAAUGAAACAGAAUAUUAAACAAUUUCACAAACAAACUAAGAGACAAAGGACAUCAAAUAAGUUCUAUCUGAGCAACAAACUCACAAAACAUACCAACUCUCAGCAAUGAACUCCCAGCAAAAUCAACCUCUAGCAAAAUCCUCUACAAAAUAUCUCUCUAGCAAAUUUACCUCCAGCAAAAUCCUCUACAAAAAAAGAGAAUCUUUUUUUCUGAACAGAACACUGGUUUUUAUAUAGCUUCUGAAGGAAUGGGUAAUUGGAGACAGCUGUGUCUUGACGAGGGGGCGGGGUCAGCUCUCCAAUUAGCCCUGGAGUCGACCAAUCAGCUGCUUGAGGGAUUUCAGGAAGCCAUUUCCUGAAAUAAACACAUGCAAAUACACAAACUACAACACAUAAUCUGGGGAACGUAACAAUGUCAUUAUUAUUAUUGCAGUGAGAUAGUCAAGGUAAAACAGUGUUUUGUUUUUCUUACAUAGGAAUUCACUCAUGGACCUGGUAUCUUAAUGUGAGUCAUGUAGUUGUGACUCAACAGAAAAAUAAUAACAGUUAUAAAAUUACAACAAAAAUUCAACUGUAAUUUAAAUAUUCCAAAGAUUUUCAAAACAUAUUUCAGUGCUGCUGUUAGAUUCAUAUCAACCAUUUAGGUGUUUGGCCUUUUGCGAUUAGUUUCGGAUGAUUUUGGCUUUGUUUUUUGUUUAUUACAUACAAUGUUUGUUCUUCGUGAUUAUUCUGAAGGUGCUCCAUAGAUUGCCAAGCCGAUAUAAUGGACAUUGUUUUAGAGGCAGAUGUACUACUGUGAUGUUGUUCACUACAGUUAGCUAGGUAGGUAGAUAUAUAGGCGGAUAGAUAUAAUUCUACAUUGAUUGUACACUAAAUACAGUUGUACAUUUGAUAUAGUCUAUUAUUAGAUGUAUUUUAAGGUGUGUAUAAUGUCUGCUGUUAACACCUCUGUAGCGGCUGAUGUCAGUGCAGUUGUACAUUUGUUCAUGAAUGGCUAGAUAAAUAGGUAGGUAGAUAAAUAGGUAGGUAGGUAGCUAGAUAUUGUAGGUAGGUAGCUAGAUAAAUAGGUAGGUAGCUAAAUAGGUAGGUAGGUAGGUAGGUAGAUAUUGUAGGUAGGUAGCUAGAUAUUGUAGGUAGGUGGGUAGAAAUUGUAAGUAGGUAGUUAGAUAUUGUAGGUAGGUAGAUAUUGUAGGUAGGUAGUUAGAUAUACUAGGUAGGAAGUUAGAUAUUGUAGGUAGGUAGUCAGAUACUGUAGGUAGGUAGGUAGAUAUUGUAGGUAGGUAUGUAGAUAUUGUAAGUAGGUAUGUAUAUAUCUUCUAGGUAGGUAGAUAUAUACAUAUUGCAGGUAAGUAGUACUCUAGGUAGAUAGAUAUUGUAGAUAGGUAGGUACUCUAGGUAGAUAGAUAUUGUAGGUAGAUAGGUACUCUAGGUAGAUAGAUAUUGUAGAUAGGUAGGUACUCUAGGUAGAUAGAUAUUGUAGAUAGGUAGGUACUCUAGGUAGAUAUAUAUUGUAGGUAGAUAGGUACUCUAGGUAGAUAGAUAUUAUAGGUAGAUAGGUAUUUUUGUAGUUUGAUGUUUACAAAUUAUAACGUCUACAUUUUGGAAUAGAAACAACAAGCCACUGAGAUGCUCAUCUCUUCUGCAGAAAACCUGCAUUGACUUAACUUAGCGUCCCGUCAACCUCACGAUAUUGGUUUAACUUCACAUCUGCUGAUGACACAUCCUGAAAGACAACCAGCUGGUUUUCCUCGGCGUGACAUCAUCAAACUGCAACAUACUCGGCUCGACCUCGAAAACACAGUGAUGAUUAGGUUGUCUGUCCUGCUACUGUACGACAGCGAAGUGAAAUGUAUUUAUUAAUUUGUUUCUUUAAUUUUUUGGGGGGGAGAGGGGACCUAUUUAUAUUUCGCAGAUUAAUUUGCUAGUGCAACCACUCUUUGGGUUCUUCACAGGUAAACAUAGAUCAACCGAUCAAUCCCCAAAGAAAGAACUAUGGCAGGUACUGUGGCAAAUUGACGAAUACGUUUAUAAAGCUACCAGCGAACUGUUAAAAAAAAAAAAUCUUAUUUCCAAAAGUUUGACUCUUCUAUACCUUAAAACAUCUGACCUGGCUAAAGGUUAGGAUGCCCCGGUGACUGGAAACACAAUGUAUUCUCCUUCAACAAAUACAACACUGGUAUGUAUCAAUAAACUGUUGCUUCAUUGAAAAUGCAUCUGAAUACAACAUUAUUUCAGCACAAGAUUGAUGGGAAUAAACACAGAUCUAUAUGAGCCAGGCUUCACCUCACCUUGCCCCCCGAGACAUACACUAUUACACACAUCACAUACAGUAAAGAAUAGGAAGGAGUAUAGGCUGGAGAUUAGGAAGGAGUAUAGGCUGGAGAUUAGGAAGUAUAGGCUGGAGAUUAGGAAGGAGUAUAGGCUGGAGAUUAGGAAGGAGUAUAGGCUGGAGAUUAGGAAGUAUAGGCUGGAGAUUAGGAAGGAGUAUAGGCUGGAGAUUAGGAAGGAGUAUAGGCUGGAGAUUAGGAAGGAAUAUAGGCUGGAGAUUAGGAAGGAGUAUAGGAAGGAGUAAAGGAAGGAGGAUAGGAAGGAUGGUUCAAGCCCUGAAUGCUGAUUGGCUGGCAGCCGUGGUAUGUCAGACCAGGUAUGACAAAAUGUAUUUUUACUGCUUGAAUUACGUUGGUAAUAUUAAUAAGGUACCUCGGGGGUGUGUGGUAUAUGGCCAAUAUAACACGGCUAAGGGCUGUAUCCAGGCACUCCACAUUGCGUUGUGCGUAAGAACAGCCCUUUAGCCGUGGUAUAUUGCCAUAUACCACAAACCCCCGAGGUGCCUUAUUGCUUAAGUAUAGGCUGGAGUUUCUAGUUAGGUGAAAUUAGAUCUAAAUUUACCUCUGGAUGACAGAAAGAGAAGACGACCUUCAUGCUGGAUCAGAGCCUGUCCCCUAUUCACCCACACCCCUAUCCAAAGUCAAAAGCAUUAUCUAUCUGCCUGAGUAGAAUGGAGUCAGUAGGGUAUCUGUAAGCAGAUUGUGUUCAUUACCUAGAGUAGUUAUUGAUUUUGGUAUCAGGGUUGGUUCCUCUACAGUCAAUGGAAGGCAGGGGAAGUAAAUCAAUCCUUGAAGAAGCACUAGAGGAUUCCGGUACAGCAGGGCCUAUACAGCUGACUGGUGGACAGACAUGUCUGCUUCAGAGAACAGGAGGGCUGCAUAUAACCCAUCACAUCACAAAUAACCAAGGCAGUAAAUGACUAAGGCAGUAAAUAACCAAGGCAGUAAAUGACCAAGGAAGUAAAUGAACAAGGCAGUAAAUGACCAAGGCAGUAAAUGAACAAGGCAGUAAAUGAACAAGGCAGUAAAUAACCAAGGCAGUAAAUGACUAAGGCAGUAAAUGAUUAAGGCAGUAAAUAACCAAGGCAGUAAAUGACCAAGGCAGUAAAUAACCAAGGCAGUAAAUAACAAAGGCAGUAAAUGACCAAGGCAUUUAAUAUUUUCCAGAUAAAACUACAUAACCCCUUUUUUCCCACUUGACUAACAAUGUAUCAGGUGUGUAUUCCUCUAAAUAUCCACCAUCUCCUCAUAUGAUGACAAUGAAAUUCAUAGUCAACCAUUUAAAAAGACUAGACCUACUGAUGUGACAAAGACUACAACAUGAAAAGACACAAACUCAUCCUCACUUGACUCAGCAAUGUACAGAGCCAUUUAUUUUCUCAAAGAAGUCCUUUCGGAAGAUGAAUUAUCAUGCCCUGUUUUCCUGUUUAAAGCUUUAGCCAAUGGUGGCCGGGCUGUUCUCCUGUUUAAAGCUUUAGCCAAUGGUGGCCGGGCUGUUCUCCUGUUAAAAGCUUUAGCCAAUGGUGGCCGGGCUGUUCUCCUGUUAAAAGCUUUAGCCAAUGGUGGCCGGGCUGUUCUCCUGUUAAAAGCUUUAGCCAAUGGUGGCCGGGCUGUUCUCCUGUUUAAAGCUUUAGCCAAUGGUGGCCGGGCUGUUCUCCUGUUAAAAGCUUUAGCCAAUGGUGGCCGGGCUGUUCU
Molecule: long non-coding RNA, 4399 nt
Organism: Oncorhynchus tshawytscha (Chinook salmon)
Lineage: Eukaryota; Metazoa; Chordata; Actinopteri; Salmoniformes; Salmonidae
Source: Ensembl